AAGGCUCCAGCUUGCUGGGGUACACGAGUGGCGAACGGGUGAGUAACACGUGGGUGACCUGCCCUGCACUUCGGGAUAAGCCUGGGAAACUGGGUCUAAUACCGGAUAGGACCGCACCGUGAGGGUGUGGUGGAAAGUUUUUUCGGUGUGGGAUGGGCCCGCGGCCUAUCAGCUUGUUGGUGGGGUAAUGGCCUACCAAGGCGGCGACGGGUAGCCGGCCUGAGAGGGUGGACGGCCACAUUGGGACUGAGACACGGCCCAGACUCCUACGGGAGGCAGCAGUGGGGAAUAUUGCACAAUGGGCGGAAGCCUGAUGCAGCGACGCCGCGUGGGGGAUGACGGCCUUCGGGUUGUAAACUCCUUUCACCAUCGACGAAGGGUUUCUGACGGUAGAUGGAGAAGAAGCACCGGCUAACUACGUGCCAGCAGCCGCGGUAAUACGUAGGGUGCGAGCGUUGUCCGGAAUUACUGGGCGUAAAGAGCUCGUAGGUGGUUUGUCGCGUCGUCUGUGAAAUUCCGGGGCUUAACUCCGGGCGUGCAGGCGAUACGUGCAUAACUUGAGUACUGUAGGGGAGACUGGAAUUCCUGGUGUAGCGGUGGAAUGCACAGAUAUCAGGAAGAACACCGAUGGCGAAGGCAGGUCUCUGGGUAGUAACUGACGCUGAGGAGCGAAAGCAUGGGUAGCGAACAGGAUUAGAUACCCUGGUAGUCCAUGCCGUAAACGGUGGGCGCUAGGUGUGGGGUUCCUUCCACGGGCUCCGCGCCGUAGCUAACGCAUUAAGCGCCCCGCCUGGGGAGUACGGCCGCAAGGCUAAAACUCAAGGAAAUUGACGGGGGCCCGCACAAGCGGCGGAGCAUGUGGAUUAAUUCGAUGCAACGCGAAGAACCUUACCUGGGCUUGACAUAUAGAGGAUCGCUACAGAGAUGUGGUUUCCCUUGUGGCUUCUAUACAGGUGGUGCAUGGUUGUCGUCAGCUCGUGUCGUGAGAUGUUGGGUUAAGUCCCGCAACGAGCGCAACCCUUGUCUUAUGUUGCCAGCACGUUAUGGUGGGGACUCGUGAGAGACUGCCGGGGUCAACUCGGAGGAAGGUGGGGAUGACGUCAAAUCAUCAUGCCCCUUAUGUCCAGGGCUUCACACAUGCUACAAUGGCCGGUACAGAGGGCUGCGACGCCGUGAGGCGGAGCGAAUCUCUUAAAGCCGGUCUCAGUUCGGAUUGGGGUCUGCAACUCGACCCCAUGAAGUCGGAGUCGCUAGUAAUCGCAGAUCAGCAACGCUGCGGUGAAUACGUUCCCGGGCCU
This 1298-nucleotide ribosomal RNA is filed under the name uncultured bacterium. Its description in RNAcentral is "bacterial SSU rRNA". It matches the Rfam family "Bacterial small subunit ribosomal RNA", at positions 70 to 1381 of the family's 1533-position model. The record is from RNAcentral.